This 822-nucleotide small RNA is filed under the name Pongo abelii (Sumatran orangutan). Its description in RNAcentral is "processed transcript". The record is from RNAcentral. Lineage: Eukaryota; Metazoa; Chordata; Mammalia; Primates; Hominidae.
GUCUGUCUCAGUUAUCUCUUGCUGCACAGCACACCACCCCAAAACCCAGUGGCAUAAGUCAUCACCAUGGACUUUCCCCAGCACAGCCAGCACGUCUUGGAACAGCUGAACCAGCAGCGGCAGCUGGGGCUUCUCUGUGACUGCACCUUUGUGGUGGACGGUGUUCACUUUAAGGCUCAUAAAGCAGUGCUGGCGGCCUGCAGCGAGUACUUCAAGAUGCUCUUCGUGGACCAGAAGGACGUGGUGCACCUGGACAUCAGUAACGCGGCAGGCCUGGGGCAGGUGCUGGAGUUUAUGUACACGGCCAAGCUGAGCCUGAGCCCUGAGAACGUGGAUGAUGUGCUGGCCGUGGCCACUUUCCUCCAAAUGCAGGACAUCAUCACGGCCUGCCAUGCCCUCAAGUCACUUGCUGAGCCGGCUACCAGCCCUGGGGGAAAUGCGGAGGCCUUGGCCACAGAAGGAGGGGACAAGAGAGCCAAAGAGGAGAAGGCGGCCACCAGCACACUAAGCAGGCUGGAGCAGGCGGGACGCAGUGCACCCACAGGCCCCAGCAGGGACCUCAAGGAGGAGCGCGGCGGUCAGGCCCAGAGUGCGGCCAGCGGUGAGUCAGAUGCCGAGGACCCAGCCGGCUGCCCUGUCACCUCCCAGCAGCCUGGGCACAGGGUAGUGAGGGCUGCCUUGGGGCAGGUAGCACGGGCACCUGCACCUCUUGAGCCUGUGUUACCCAGAAUGACCUAUUGUGUGUUCCAGGGGGUCUGUUUCAACCAGAGCAGACACAACAGCCUCAGCUAGGGGUGUGCUGGGGCCUCCCCUCCUGGGUCA